GAUGAACGCUAGCUACAGGCUUAACACAUGCAAGUCGAGGGGUAACAAGAGGAAAGCUUGCUUUUCUUGUUGACGACCGGCGCACGGGUGAGUAACGCGUAUCCAACCUGCCUAUAACUAGGGAAUAACCUUGCGAAAGUAAGACUAAUACCCUAUGAUUUCCUUUGAUGACGUCGGAUUAGGAAUAAAGAUUUAUCGGUUAUAGAUGGGGAUGCGUCUGAUUAGCUUGUUGGCGGGGUAACGGCCCACCAAGGCAACGAGCAGUUGGGGUUCUGAGGAGAAGGUCACCCACAUGGGAACUGCGAUCUGGUCCAACCUCCGACGUGAGGCAGCAGUGAGGAAUAUUGGUCAAUGGGCGGAAGCCUGAACCAGACAAGUAGCGUGCAGGAUGGCGGCUCUAUCGGUUGUAAACUGCUUUUAUACAGGAAUAAAGUUAGCCACGUGUGGUUAUUUGUAGGUACUGUAUGAAUAAGGACCGGCUCAGUCCGUGCCAGCCGCCGCGGUAA
RNAcentral lists this ribosomal RNA (506 nucleotides) under uncultured bacterium. RNAcentral's name for it is "partial 16S ribosomal RNA". It matches the Rfam family "Bacterial small subunit ribosomal RNA", at positions 28 to 523 of the family's 1533-position model. The record is from RNAcentral.